CUAAAUUACUAAACACUUCCAUAAACAAUACCUUUUGUUUCUCAAAAGGUAUUGUUUAUAAAUGCAGAGAAUUUCUUAAGAGCAAGAUAUUUCUAGUCACGGUUUAAAUUGGUCCUUGUUUAUACAAUCGGCCCAUAUAGUUGAUAGGAGGCGAGAUCAAAGUUGAGUAGAUCUCCUAACAACAGAACCAUAAACAUCAAAAUUGACAAUUCCUGUUGCCAAUCCCAAUAAAAAGAAAACAUCAAAUGGAGUGAAUGGGAUCUGAGGAACAAUUCAAACCUCUUCCUCAACUUCAUGGGAUUGAUGGAGAUAUUGAAAGGCAAGGAUGGAUGACAUUUCUGAAAACUCAGAGACAGUCCAGUCUCAACAGAGCUUGUGUGUGCCAUUGUCCUUUUUAGAUGUAUUUUCCAGUGUUCUGUCUUGUAGCAACUAUCCAUCUAUUAUAAAUUUGUGGAACCAAGGAAAUCAGAAGAAAAAAAAUAAUCCUCUUUCUCAAAAAAUAUUGUUUAUAAAUGCAGAGAACUUCUUAAGGGCAAGAUAUUUCCAUUACAAUUAGUAUUUCAUUGAUAUUUCUUGAUUGCAAUUAUAAAUCAGUGUUGAUAUUUUAUUAUGAUUCUGUCUAUGUAAUUACUUAAUUGUAUAAUAAUUUGUGUAGGUUAU
Molecule: long non-coding RNA, 660 nt
Filed under: Androctonus crassicauda
Lineage: Eukaryota; Metazoa; Arthropoda; Arachnida; Scorpiones; Buthidae
Source: RNAcentral